UACGGGGGGGGCAAGCGUUGUUCGGAAUUACUGGGCGUAAAGGGCGCGUAGGCGGUCAGACCAAGUCGAGUGUGAAAUUCCAGGGCUUAACUCUGGCACGCUCGCUCGAUACUGGUCGGCUAGAGUGUGGAAGAGGAUGCUGGAAUUCCCGGUGUAGCGGUGAAAUGCGUAGAUAUCAGGAGGAACACCAAUGGCGAAGGCAGCUCGCUGGGACGUGACUGACGCUGAGACGCGAAAGCCAGGGGAGCAAACGGG
RNAcentral lists this ribosomal RNA (255 nucleotides) under uncultured bacterium. RNAcentral's name for it is "partial 16S ribosomal RNA". It matches the Rfam family "Bacterial small subunit ribosomal RNA", at positions 524 to 776 of the family's 1533-position model. The record is from RNAcentral.